RNAcentral lists this non-coding RNA (148 nucleotides) under Pan paniscus (pygmy chimpanzee). Lineage: Eukaryota; Metazoa; Chordata; Mammalia; Primates; Hominidae. RNAcentral also lists the same sequence under 1 other name. The record is from Rfam by way of RNAcentral.
GCCAGGCGUGGUGGGGCAUGCCUGUAAUCCCAGCUACUUGGGAGGCUGAGGCAGGGGAAUUGCUUGAAUCUGGGAGGCUGAGGUUUCAGUGAGCUGAGAUCAUGCCACUGCACUCUAGCCUGGGUGACAGAGUGAGACUCUGUCUCAA